RNAcentral lists this ribosomal RNA (299 nucleotides) under uncultured bacterium. RNAcentral describes it as "partial 16S ribosomal RNA". It matches the Rfam family "Bacterial small subunit ribosomal RNA", at positions 30 to 310 of the family's 1533-position model. The record is from RNAcentral.
AGUGAACGCUGGCGGCAGGCCUAACACAUGCAAGUCGAGCGGCAGCGGGUCCCCGCGAGGGGAUGCCGGCGAGCGGCGGACGGGUGAGGAACACAUCGGAAUCUGCCUGGGUUGUGGGGGAUAACGUAGGGAAACUUACGCUAAUACCGCAUGAGACCCUGAGUCGACGGACUGGGGGUGAAAGUGAGGGACCUUCGGGCCUCACGCGACCAGAUGAGCCGAUGCCGGAUUAGCUAGUUGGCGGGGUAACGGCCCGCCAAGGCGACGAUCCGUAGCUGGUCUGAGAGGAUGAUCAGCCA